Molecule: ribosomal RNA, 502 nt
Filed under: uncultured bacterium
Lineage: Bacteria
Description: partial 16S ribosomal RNA
Rfam family: Bacterial small subunit ribosomal RNA
Source: RNAcentral
GACGAACGCUGGCGGCGUGCCUAAUACAUGCAAGUCGAACGAACCGCGACUGAGUGCUUACACUUGGUCAAGGUGAGUGGCGAACGGGUGAGUAACACGUGGGUAACCUACCUCAUAGUGGGGGAUAACAGUCGGAAACGACUGCUAAUACCGCAUAGGACAUGGAAUCACAUGAUUCUGUGAGGAAAGGUGGCGCAAGCUAUCGCUACGAGAUGGACCCGCGGUGCAUUAGCUAGUUGGUAGGGUAAGGGCCUACCAAGGCGAUGAUGCAUAGCCGACCUGAGAGGGUGAUCGGCCACAUUGGGACUGAGACACGGCCCAAACUCCUACGGGAGGCAGCAGUAGGGAAUCUUCCGCAAUGGACGCAAGUCUGACGGAGCAACGCCGCGUGAGUGAAGAAGGUCUUCGGAUCGUAAAGCUCUGUUGUUAGAGAAGAACAGCGCAUAGAGUAACUGUUAUGCGUGUGACGGUAUCUAACCAGAAAGCCACGGCUAACUACGUG